UACGUAGGGUGCGAGCGUUGUCCGGAAUUAUUGGGCGUAAAGAGCUCGUAGGCGGUGUGUCACGUCGGCCGUGAAAACCUGGGGCUUAACUCUGGGCGUGCGGUCGAUACGGGCAUCACUAGAGUUCGGCAGGGGAGACUGGAAUUCCUGGUGUAGUGGUGAAAUGCGUAGAUAUCGGGAGGAACACCAGUGGCGAAGGCGGCUUUCUGGUCUGCUCUUGACGCUGAGGCGCGAAAGCUAGGGUAGCAAACGGG
This 254-nucleotide ribosomal RNA is filed under the name uncultured bacterium. RNAcentral describes it as "partial 16S ribosomal RNA". It matches the Rfam family "Bacterial small subunit ribosomal RNA", at positions 524 to 776 of the family's 1533-position model. The record is from RNAcentral.